This 284-nucleotide unclassified non-coding RNA is filed under the name plant metagenome. RNAcentral describes it as "partial contains small subunit ribosomal RNA, internal transcribed spacer 1, and 5.8S ribosomal RNA". The stretch from base 1 to 53 matches the Rfam family "Eukaryotic small subunit ribosomal RNA", at positions 1778 to 1831 of the family's 1831-position model. The record is from RNAcentral.
GGAAGUAAAAGUCGUACAAGGUUUCCGUAGGUGAACCUGCGGAAGGAUCAUUAUUGUAUAACCGAGGUGCGAGGGCUGUCGCUGACCCGAAAGGUCGUGCACGCCCGAGUGCCCUCACACACAUCCAUCUCACCCCUAUGUGCACCACCGCGUGGGUCCCCCUUUGGCUUGUUCGGAGGGGGGCUUACGUUUUCACACAAACUUUGUAUGCAGUGUAGAAUGUAUUUUUUGUUUUUGCGAUCACGCAAUCAAUACAACUUUCAACAAUGGAUCUCUUGGCUCUC